Molecule: ribosomal RNA, 449 nt
Filed under: uncultured bacterium
Lineage: Bacteria
Description: partial 16S ribosomal RNA
Rfam family: Bacterial small subunit ribosomal RNA
Source: RNAcentral
CACCAGACUCCUACGGGAGGCAGCAGUGGGGGAUAUUGCACAAUGGGGGGAACCCUGAUGCAGCGACGCCGCGUGGGUGAAGGAGCGUUUCGGCGCGUAAAGCCCUAUCGGCAGGGAAGAAGGAGGACGGUACCUGACUAAGAAGCCCCGGCUAACUACGUGCCAGCAGCCGCGGGAAUACGUAGGGGGCAAGCGUUAUCCGGAUUUACUGGGUGUAAAGGGGGCGCAGACGGCAGCGCAAGCCAGGAGUGAAAGCCCGGGGCCCAACCCCGGGACUGCUCUUGGAACUGCGCGGCUGGAGUGCAGGAGGGGCAGGCGGAAUUCCUGGUGUAGCGGUGAAAUGCGUAGAUAUCAGGAGGAACACCAGUGGCGAAGGCGGCUUACUGGACGGCAACUGACGCUGAGGCUCGAAAGCGUGGGGAGCAAACAGGAUUAGAUACCCCCGUACC